RNAcentral lists this ribosomal RNA (253 nucleotides) under uncultured bacterium. RNAcentral describes it as "partial 16S ribosomal RNA". It matches the Rfam family "Bacterial small subunit ribosomal RNA", at positions 524 to 776 of the family's 1533-position model. The record is from RNAcentral.
UACGUAGGGUGCAAGCGUUGUCCGGAAUCAUUGGGCGUAAAGCGCGUGUAGGCGGUUCGGUAAGUCCGCUGUGAAAGUCGGGGGCUCAACCCUCGGAUGCCGGUGGAUACUGUCGGACUAGAGUACGGAAGAGGCGAGUGGAAUUCCUGGUGUAGCGGUGAAAUGCGCAGAUAUCAGGAGGAACACCGAUUGCGAAGGCAGCUCGCUGGGACGUUACUGACGCUGAGACGCGAAAGCGUGGGGAGCAAACAGG